GUCUCUUUGGUCCCACCAUGGAAAGACACAGCAAGUAGGCGGCCAUCUGCAGACCAGGAAGAGGCCUCCCACCAGGAACCAAGUCAGCCGGCAUCUCAAUCCUGGACUUCCAGCCUCCAGAAUGGAAUGGAAUAUGUCCCUGCCCAUUGAUGCAGGGCAUGGCUGUGAGACUUGUUGUCACCUCAAGAUGAUUAGCUAGUACUAAUCAAAGUCAUUUCAAGAAAAUGUGUCCUUCUCAAGCUGUUCUUUACCAGUCAGUGACAUUAUCUUUCUCCAGUUGCCUGGUGUGUUUGCCACAAAACUCAGCUGAGGAUCCUUAGCAACAGUUCACAACGGUCAACAGGUGUUGGAGUGGCCACAGGCAUUUCUGGCUGAGAGGAAGUUGAGUUGGACACAUUAGUAUGAGUCCAGGGGAACACAUUUCGGUGGCUCAGUCACACAGCGCAUGGUGAAGAUACUGUGAGCUGUCCCGGUGUAGGAGCAGCUUUUAGGAACAUCCCUGUUGCCCACUGUGCCAACUCAUCUGGCCCCAGGACCAGGGCCAGAGGUCCUAUCGAGAUACCCACAGGUCCUAUGGCACCCAGAAUGGAACUAUGUGGAGACUGGAGGAGAAACAUAAUUUGAAAUGUGUGGAACCAGAAGCCAGCCUGUGGAAAAUUCUUGCAAUCAUGAGAGAUUUAAAAUUGUAAGUAGAAGACUUGGUUCCCAUUAAUGCCUAAUAAGAACAGAAGCUCUUUCUUAUUGAGGAAAUAUACUCAAUAACGCAGCAUAUACAAUUAUAAAUGCACCAUUGACUUGUUUUUUGAUGAGACGCAUGUGAAAUAAAUUUAUCGGAAUUCCUGGAUCUAUUGGGGAAAACCCAUAGCAGAACCACAAACUGAGUAUAGCAUCUGUAACAGCUCAAUUAUGAACGAAACUCGCAAGCCACUUUCUCAAAUCUGACAGCCAACCUGAAUGUAGAUGACAUUACCAAGAACAAAUUAUGAAGUUCAAAGGAACUUUUCUAAACUAUUUAUAAUUUUUUAAAAUGCCAACAAACUGAAUUAUCUUU
RNAcentral lists this long non-coding RNA (1051 nucleotides) under Equus caballus (horse). Its description in RNAcentral is "lncRNA (ENSECAG00000058214.1)". The record is from RNAcentral. Lineage: Eukaryota; Metazoa; Chordata; Mammalia; Perissodactyla; Equidae.